AUUGAACGCUGGCGGCAUGCCUUACACAUGCAAGUCGAACGGCAGCACGGGAGCAAUCCUGGUGGCGAGUGGCGAACGGGUGAGUAAAGUAUCGGAACGUACCUUUCAGUGGGGGAUAACGUAGCGAAAGUUACGCUAAUACCGCAUAUUCUGUGAGCAGGAAAGCAGGGGAUCGCAAGACCUUGCGCUGAUGGAGCGGCCGAUAUCAGAUUAGCUAGUUGGUGAGGUAAAGGCUCACCAAGGCGACGAUCUGUAGCGGGUCUGAGAGGAUGAUCCGCCACACUGGGACUGAGACACGGCCCAGACUCCUACGGGAGGCAGCAGUGGGGAAUUUUGGACAAUGGGCGCAAGCCUGAUCCAGCCAUGCCGCGUGAGUGAAGAAGGCC
This 386-nucleotide ribosomal RNA is filed under the name uncultured bacterium. RNAcentral's name for it is "bacterial SSU rRNA". It matches the Rfam family "Bacterial small subunit ribosomal RNA", at positions 30 to 416 of the family's 1533-position model. The record is from RNAcentral.